GGAAACGUCCGAGGUGGACAACUUCAAUUGUAGUAUCACAACACAUGCAUUAUAGUAAUCAAAGUACAAACAACCAUUGCAUUAAUAAGUAUAAGUUUUUACAUAUGUUCAAUCAUUGUAUAUUGACACCAAAAUUAGUUAUAACAAAAGAUAAAAGACAUGACUCAAAACAGCUUCAUUUUCUCAAAAGCUCGGGGAGUACCUGUCUACUGAUUUCCUGAGAAUACAAGUAAUUUGAAAAGAGAGUAUCAACAUAAAGUUGAGUGAGUGCAUAAGUAGGUUUAAUCACAUAAAACCGUUCUGUUUGUAAACCAGUGUUCUGUAUUUGUAUUCUUUUGUAUAACCUGAAAAAGUGAGUGUGUCUGGCUUCACCGGCUGUUAAUGUAAACUGAGAUGUAAUACUGUAAAACUGUAUUUUAGUAAAAUAGCAUCAUACGGUUCGGCCAGCGUGAGCAAAAGGACCGAACCGGACCCGGGAACCGGCUUCGGCCAAAAUCAAGAACCGAAUCGGCCCGGCGGUUCUACCAGUUCCCGGUUCCUACCGGUUCUUGUCGUGUAUUCAAAUGUUGGAACCAGUCCUCGAAAAAUAGCAUCAUAUGGUUCCGGUUUUUUGCCGGUUCUACCGGUUCCGGUUCCUACCAGUUCCAAAAGUCCACAAAAAUAACGUCUCAGUCCCGGCCCGACCGGUUCCAUCGGGUUCCGGUUCCGGUGUCGGCCGGUUCCCCGAUCCAUAUGUUCAUCCCUACUGUCACUCGUAGGCGUGUAUGACUGGCUGUAGCUAGCAGUCAGUGCGGGGUUGUCAAUCCCAAUAUAAAUCUAUACACACUUGUUUCAAUCCCCGACUGGAGAUUCUGGUUAUAAUGUCAGGACUUUAACUAUGUUGUUUAAAUGAAUUAAACAACAUUAAUCUAUUGACUCAUAAAAAGCAUAUAGACGUUACGUGUAUAAUAGAAGUGAAAACCCAAUCAUUCUGAAAUAAAUGAUUGAUAGUAUGCUCUUGAAUUAGUAUUCUUAACAUGUAUUUGAAAAAUGUAUACCCUUGAUUAGUUUUGAAUCAAACCAUUGUUCUUGUAAAAUGGUGUACUCUAGUAUACUUGGUUCGUGAAUUAAUGUUCUAUGAAUCAUAAAGUACACCUAUUAUAAUUUAUAUGUACUUUCUGAAUUGAUACUAACUGUUCAUGAAUGCAAUCCCUUGCUCGACAUGUUACAAAGGGUAUUGAAAUUGAAUGAAAUAACCUUUAUAUUUAUAUACAUAUACAAAUAUAUAACUAAAAUUUAAACGACAGUCGGACAAAUAACUGAUACUCUAAGCCCACAUCCAAACAAGGAAAAUGAAAUAAAGUGAGUUAUCAGUCCUAAGCCCUUNUAUAUAUAUAUAUAUGAUUUUUGGGGGAAAAAAAUAUAAGUUUAUAAAAUCAUUUAAAGAAUUUAACAUCUUGAAAUACUUUUGGUGACGUGAUGUCAUUUUAACACAAUUUAAAACCAUUUGAUUUGAUGACAAUUGAAAUCCAUUUUGGUAAGAUAUUUUGAAACCAUUUGAUUUGAUAUAGGACGUUUACUUCCACAAGUGUAAUCUCGUAGUAAAACAAGUCCUAUAUAGCAAUUAGAAACUGGACUAAUUUGUAAGUAUAACUUCAAAUAGGAGUGUUAGAAGCUAAAAUGGAGGCUGAAUGGUGUUCAGAUUUUAAUGCACUUUUGAAUGAUAACUUUUGAGUAGUUAUAGAUCCAAUGAUCUUUUAAAUUUUAAUCCACUUAGCAUUCUACAAAUAUCUUACACAAGUUAUCUUUUGGUUAUUGUUUUUACUAAAAACUUCAUCAACAUUUUUGACAGGUUAAGAAUCUCAGGAAAGAUGUUAAUAUUGUUGGUGUAGUAUGUUGAGAUCAGCCUCACCGUUAUAUUGUUUCUCCUUUUAACAUUAUCUUUGAAAUUGGAACAUUAAGCCUAUUUAACCUUGAAUUUUGUUGAAAGACGUGUGAAACUAGGUGGUGGUCUAUUGGUGAAUACUGCUGAAACGUUGAAGAAUUAACUCUGAUGUAUCAUAACCCUGGUGAAGGUAUAGACAAACCCAUCUUUAUGUCGUUUUUGUUUUUUUUGAUUUUGAUGAUUACUUCUUUGUUUCACAAUUAAACAAAGAUAUGAUUUAUGUUGUUGCAGGUUCUAUUCUAAUAUAUUUAGGGUUUAAGACAUGUGAUUCCUUAUAUGUUGACCCAAUAUAUGAUGAUUUUCACAAUUUAACAAAUUGUCUUUGUUUCACAAUUUGUAGGAUAAUUACUAUCUUUUCAAGAUAUCAUGUCACUGUCUAAGAUGUUUUUCUAAACACUUAUUUGUACAACAAGAUAUGGAGCAACCUCUUGAAAGUUAAAAGUGACAAUUAUCUAUUUGUUGUUCAGAAUCAAGUUCACUGAAGCAUGUAAACAGAAGAAGUCGAAGUGUAAGUGCUUUUGAAUAUUUUGACAGAAUUUGUGAUCUUGAAAAUUAAAAGUGACAAUUACCGAUUUUCCAAUGACCAAGUAAAAUUAACUAAUUUUUGUUUUUCAUUUUCUUGCUUCUAAUACUUUCUUUAGGAAAUGGCUAGGAGGAAUGAGGAGCACUCUGUUUAAAAUGUGUUGUGUUUUCCCCGAUUAACUAUUUUUUUUCUAGAAAAGUCCAUAAUUAAGUAAGGUGCUUCAAACAAAAAUCUAUUAUGGGUAUUGAAGUUUGUUUUGCCUAAAGAAAAGAUAAUGUACUAUUAAAAAGUUCUAUUUUAGUGAAUUUGACCCUUUGCAAAAAGUUACAAUAAUAAUAAAUAAAUCACCUAAAGUAUAUUACUAAUUCUUACAAUAUUUUUCAUCUAUUGGUGUUGUUUUAAGGUUAUUAUUUUACCCAUACACAACUUAAAAAUUGCUAACUGCUUUAAUUUUUUGGUGCAGAGGUUAUAACUUUAGGCAAAGUUUUGCCCUUCAUGUUUUUUUACCCACAAAAGGGUUGAAAAUGCUUCUUGAUUUGAGGCAAUGUAUUUUUGUGUAGUUUCUUUUAACAUUUCACUUUUAUUUUUUUCUAUUAUAAUAUUGUAUCUUUAAAUUUUUACCAUGUAUGACGAUUAUAUUUUUAUCGAUCCUCACUACCAAUUUCGCUAAUGUAUCUUCUUUUUUACCAUAAAAUUAUUAGUAAAAAUGUCUAAGUAUGUUGCUAUUUUGGGUAAGUCGUUACACGUAAGUGAACUUAAACUUCAAAAAACAUAUUAUAUAAAAACAGUUAUUGUUCAAUCUCCCGCCGCAACGCGUGGCUUAAAAACCUCGUUUCUUACAUCACACUUUAUUACUAUUGAUAAAGCUGAUUUUUUUAAUUAAAAUUAACAUAACUAAUCCUAAAUAUGGCGACGUCAACUUCCGGUUAAUUGUGUAUUACAAGUUUACAACAUCCUAUUUCAAUUACCUCCACUACAACAUUAAACUUUUUCUUACUAAAUGCCUUCUACUUUAAAAAAUCUAACCACAUCAAUGUGCUACUGUAUUUGUCUUAUUAGAACAUUAUUCUUUCAAAAAUUGACCCCUAUUAUAGAAAUGAAAAAUGCUUUGCAUAUAAAGGACAUUGUUAACUUGGUAGAUUUUAAAAUUACAAUGUUCCUAACAACAAGAAGCAAACCUAGGAUGCUAUAAUAAAUAAAUCAACAAAAGUAUGUUGCCAUUUCACAAACAAAUAUAUACUUCGGAUCAAAAUACAAUCAACUUUCUUGAGAAAUCUGACUGUCAUGCUUUACAUAAUUAUGCAUCAAACCAUGAUAACGGAAGUUUACUUUCUAAAAAAGCAUGCUAUUGAAAAAGUUAGAAAGAAAAACAUGCUCUAUAUAAUUAUUUGCUAUGUGUUAGGAACAAUAUCUUUGCAUGAUAAAUCUAUCAUGAACAAAAUCCUUCAACUGUUGUAAUUAGAAAAGUUAAAGAGUUUAUGACCCUACAUGCAGCGCAGCUUCUUUCGCUAGUACAGAAGAGAUUUGAUAAUGCGGUUAUUAUUAUUUGUUGAUGUGGUUUUCUAACCAUGCCAACACAUAUAACAUCAAACAAAAACGAUAUUUGUUGAUGCGGUUUGUUAUACCGCAUUAGCAAACGUGAAAAAUCGUCUUUAUAAAAUAUCUAAGUAAAAAAGCACAAAUCGCACCAAAAACUUAGUAACCGCCCUAUUAAGUAAUUGCACCAAAAAACACAAAACUGCUAUAUUAAAUAACAGCACCAAAAAAUAUAAAACCGCCCUAUUAAAUAAUAGCAAUAAAAAAUACAAAACCAGCCUAAUAAAAUACAACACCAAAAAAAUAACAAAUCUACACUACAAAAAAUAAUAUAUCAUUAAACAAAUCAUCAUUAUAACAUAUCACUAUAAGAAAUCAUCAAUAAACAAAAACAUACUACUAAACAAAACAUCAUUAUACAAAAAACCAACAAUUUCUAAUUAUAUUUUAGUUAUAGUAAUCAUUAUAAUUCUUACAAAGUUCUUUUCCGACCACCGUUCACCAUGUCAAUUAAACAAUGUACUAUUUCUAAGACCUUAUCUUCAAGUUUAAUAGUCGAAGCAAAACUUUUCUUUUUAUAUAUCAUGUUGAAUGUUUUCAACAAACUCGUUCAUAUGUUUUAUUACUAUAAAUCCACAUUUCCAUCCACCUUUUUGUUUGUAGUAAUGCAUUUAAUUCACAAUCUAUUUCAAACCACUUGAAAUAUAUUGAUAAAACUAAUAGAAAACAUAUGUUUACCGUUUCCCACUUAUUAAAUCGUCCCGGGAAUAUUUUAUCAAUUAUAGAAGCAAAUAGGUAAUCGUCCUUUUUUUUCCUCGUUCUUUUCAUAAAUUUAAGAAUCAUUAAUAACCGCAUUUGUUUUCUGAACAUUGGAUAAAAAACACCCAAUAUCUACUGCAAAAAUAAGAAUUAUUUAACAAAUAAACAUAUAUGUGUAGUGUGUAUAUGUAUAAGUGUAGUGUAUAAUGUAUGUGAACAUAUCAUGGAAAGAAAAAAAAAAUUACCUUUAUAAAUAUAUAUGAAGCAAGAAAAUUUUGUUUACCUUUAUGAUACGAAAAUAUUUGUUAGAUAUGUUCAACAACAGGCGACAAAUUGUUUUUAGUAUCUAAGUUUAUAAUGCAAAGCGGAUAAAAAAAACCACAAUCGGAAUUGGGUAUAUAUCAAGCCAAUCAUAAAAAUAGUUGUAAAACCUUUCAAAUGCAUAAGGCUAUAAUUAAGUCAAUCUCUUAAAAAUAGUUGUAAAACCUUGAUAGGUAUCUUGAACCUUGCGACGAUAAAUCCAUUUAGGUGAAAAAAUACUAAUGGCUUUUGUAUUCCCAAAAAACGUUGAUACUUUGCUCAAGCGUAUACACAACUCAUGAUCUUCAAGUGUAUAGAAUUCAGGUUCGGGUUCGGUUUCAGACUCGUGUUCGGGUUCAAAUUCGGCUCCGACUCGGGGAGCAUUUAAAUCAACUAGUGGUGGAUUCAUAAAUAAUAUUUGAAAACUAAACACAAAACAUUAGUACAUAGAUAUGAUUAUAUAUAAACAUAAAACAUCUAAAUUAUAUACAAACAUAAAACAUCUAAAAACAAACAUAAUAAAUCUAAAAACAACAAGCAUAAAACAAGUUUUUAAGGCUAAUCUCAUCAAGUAAACCACUUGAAUAUGUUCAUUAAUUUCAUGAUGAUAAAGAAUGUGAUUUUCCUCAAACUAAAAUAACAAACACAUUGUUAUAUAAUAUUAAAAAAAAUCAAACUAAAUUAACAAAAAAUAAGAAUGAUUUGGUCGACUACCUGUGGACGAUAAACUGAAGUCGUCGUGAUGCCAUCAGCAUGUAUCUGUGGCGAACCACGACUCGACCCCAUUCUCAUGCCACUAUUUGACUUGCUAGGUGUCUUGUUCACAAGCUAAAAUAUUCAAAUAAAAGUAUACUAAAAUAUAUAGUUAUACUUAAAUAUAAAUAUACCUUUAUAGCAUAUCACGGUCGGAUGUUUAACAUAUUCAACUUAUUCCGUUCAUGUGACGGCAUGCACAAGCAAGUUCUCAUAUAUUUCAAUGAUUUCAUCAACCUUAACUUCCACAUAACCUUUAUUUAUAGGUUUUGAAUGUAUUAUCAUUUCAGAUGUUGACCAUGCAACAUAAGCUAUUUUCAAUUGGAUAUCAGCCACAUUCACUAGCAAAUCACAUUCUAUCCUAACCUAAAAAUCAUACAACAUUUUUUUAAAAUAUAACAUAAAAACAUGACUUAUAAUAUAAUUAAAUAUCUUUUUUAUAUGGAAACUAUAAAUAUAUUACUUCAAUAAGUGGAUAUUUUGUCAACCGUCUACAAGACGCACCACUAGAUUAAUGGAAUGUUAUGAUAUUGUCAACAUGUGGUCACAUGUUUUGACUAUUUUCCACAUUCUUAAACAAUCCACCGUAAACUUGAGUAGGGCCAAUGAUAUUGGAUAUUCUCUGUGAUCGGCCCCAUGAUCGUAUCCUAAAAGUCUAACUAAUGGGUCUUCCUUAUUUUGAAAAUAACUCUCAUCGACUAUCAUUCUUUUCUCUUUUUGUUCCUAUGAAAAAAAAUACUUGGCAAGAUAUAAUUAAUAAAAAACAAAAUCUUCAUCAAGUGAAAAAACAUAAUUGUUUACCAUAAAAUGAAAAUCUUCAAUCGACCUUUGUAGAAAAUCAUACAUAUUGGUUUCUUUGUUUUUUACUGCGAAAGUCAUUAAAUACAUCCUAGACCGUUCAUUUUGUAUACGAUCCAGAAACUCGUAUUUUGAUACAAGUUGAGGCCAUAUAGUAUGUCUUUUUUUUCAAGACCCCGUCAUCCACUUCGUGCUAAGCGCACAAUGAAUAACCUUUUGGCAUUGCUUUCUUUAGCUUUUGCACUUUUUGCCUUCAUACAUACCAACAAAAUAAUAAUAAUAACAACAAUAACAAUAAAAAAAAAUUAAAAUAUACCAAAAACUCAAGGGUAGUUUUUUGUGCAACGAACUUAUUCUAUACAUCCGGUUUUAUAAAAUCAUAUUUAAGACACGCAUUCAAUCAUUGGAUCAUAAAAUUUAUAACAAAGUAUGAUUUAAAAUUUGAUGCAAGCUUCACAGCUUUCUUCUUCAAAAAAAUUUCCUGAUCAUCAGACUCAAUGUUCCACUAUUUUACAAUUCCAAAACAAGAGGUUAAACAUAAUAAUUAAUUAACAAGUUAUUCAUAUUUGUAAUAAAUUAAAAUAUAAAUGUCUUGGUUCCAACCAUAAAUUUUUAAAAUAUGUUUCUUCAAGUUUACGUGUCACUAUAUCUAUAGAAACCUAUGUCGAGCCAUCAUGUCAUACCAAGAAUUCAACCUAAUUGGCAUGUCACCGUUUGGGAUAUUAUUUUCAUCAAACUUCACUUGAUACUUUCGGAGGAAUCUUUGAAUUAAAUGUACCAAUACUGCUUUCACAACAAUAAAUCAAUAUUGUAAAUAUUCUAAACUAUACAGCAUGAGACAGUUACGUUCAUAUAUAUUCUAAAAUAUUCGAAACACCUUUUCACAAUAAAACUUUUUGACAACAAAUCAAUAUAAUAUACAUCUUAGUUGAGACAACAACAAAUCAAUGUAUAUAUACCUUAUACGACAGAGAAACUCAAAAAUGACAUUGUGACACAGAGACUUGUAGAGCGAAUUAGACUAUGUGGACGACGGAGUUAGUGAAUGUUGUCCGAUAAGUGUGAGAUUUAGCAUCGAUUUAGCCGUCCGGGACCACUAAAACGGGAAUUUCCGUCGGCCUCAACUAUGAAGGUAUUAUAGAAGAAGGGUUUACGAAUUCGGAUAUGGAGGUUUCAAGACAACAGCUCGCGCACAAUGAAAAGAUUUGCAAGGCAAAUGACGAAAAUCAUAAGAGGGAAACCCUUGUGAAGCGAUUUAGGUAUUUUUUGGAGCGAUUAAUGUGGGGGGUAUCCGAAUUCGUAAACCCUUCUUCUGUAACAUUUUUGAUAUCCGCUCACAUUAAUCCCCCCAAAAAAUACCUAAACCUCCAUAUGAUUUUCGUCAUUUGCUUUUCAAAUAUUUUCAUUGCGCGCAAACUCUCUUCUCCAAACCUCCAUAUCUGAAUUCGUAAACCUUUUUUCUGUAAUACUUUCAUUUUUGAGUCUCUGUCGUAUAAGGUAUAUAUAUCCAUUGAUUUGUUGUUGUCUCGACUAAGGUGUAUAUACAUUGAUUUGUUGUUAAAAAGUUUUAUUGUGAAAAGGUGUUUCGAAUCUUUUAGAAUUGAUAUGAACAUGAUUGUCUCAUGUCAAAUAGUUUAUAAUCUUUACAAUAUUGAUUUGUUGUGAAAAAGUGCUAUUACUUUACAUUAUAGUUUGGAAUCUUUAGAAUAUAUAAACGUGACCGACCAUAUUUAAUAAAUGUAAUAUUUAGCCCCACAUAUAUAAGGUCUACCAAUUUAUUGGAUCGAUCCUUUUCAUUGCAUUAUGUUGGAUUUUGGUUUUGUAUUCAUGUAAUAUACUAUUGUAUUGGAUUAUGGUUGUUGUCCUUAUGUAAUGUCUGUCUUCUGUUAUCUAUGGAUAAACUUAUUUUUAAUUUUUUCAAUAUUGUUAGGCUUAUAAAAAUGGAAAAUGUACAAACAAGAAAAAGAGGUGAACACAGUAUUGGUGCAUUUAAGUCAAAGAUUCCUCCAGAAAAGUAUCAAGUGAAGUUCCAUAAAAAUAAUAUCCCAAACGGUGGCAUGUCAAUCAGGUUUAAUUCUUGGUAUGGCAUGAUUGUUCGACACAGGUUUCUACAGAUAUACAGACGCAUAAACUUGAAGAAAACAUAUUUUAAAGAUUUAUGGUUGGAAACCAAGGUAUUUAUAUUUUAAUUUAUUACAAAUAUAAAUAACUUGUUAAUUAAUUAUUAUGUUUAACCUCUUUUGUUUUGAAAUUAUAAAAUAGUGGAACAUUAAGUCUGAUGAUGAUCAGGAAAAUUAUAUGAAGAAGAAAGCUAUGAAGCUUGCAUCAAAUUUUAAAUCAUACCUUGUUAUAAAUUUUAUGAGCCAAGGAUUAAAUGCUUGUCUUAAAUAUGGUUUUAUAAAACCUAACAGGAUUGAUUCGUUGCACAAAAAACUACCCCCAGAGUUUUUUGUAUGUUUUAAUUGUUUAUUUAUUAUUAUUACUAUUAUUACUAUACAAAACGAAGUGGAUGGCAGGGUCUUGAAAAAAAAGACAUUAUAUGGCCUCAACUUGUAUCAAAAUACGAGUUUCUGGAUCGUAUACAAAAUGAACGGUCUAGGCUGUAGUUAACGGCUUUCGCAAUAAAAACAAAGAAACCAAUAUGUAUGAUCUUCUACAAUGGUCAAUUGAAGAUUUUCAUUUUUUGGUAAACAAUUAUGUUUUUCACUUGAUGAAGAUUUUAAAUUUUACUAGAUAUCUUUUGCCAAGUAUUUUUUUUUCAUAGGAACAAAAAGAGAAAAGAACGAUGGCCGAUGGGAGUUAUUUUCAAAAUAAAAAAUACCCAUUAGUUAGACUUAUGGGACACGAUCACGGGGGCGAUCACAAAGAAUAUUCAAUAUCAUUGGAACUACUCAAGUUUACGGUGGAUUGUUUAAGAAUGUGGAAAAUAGUCAAAGCACGAAACCACAGGUUAACAUGAUCCCAACAGUCCAUGAAUCUAGUGGUGUGUCUGGUGGACGGUUGACAGAAUAUCUACCUAUUGAUGUAAUAUAUUUAUAAUUUCCAAAUAAAAAAGAUAUUUAUAUAUAUUAUAAGUUACGUUUUUAUAUUAUAUUUAUAAAAAAUGUUGUAUCAUUUUCAGGUUAGGAUAAAAUGUGAUUUGCUAGUGAAUGUGGUUGAUACUCAAUUGAAAGUAGCUUAUGAUAUUGCAUGGCCAACAUCUGAAACGGUAAUAAAGGUUGUGUGAAAGUUCAAGUUGAUGAAAUCAACGAAAUAUAUGAGAACCUUCCUGUGCAUGUUGUGUGAAUGUUGUCACACGAACAGAAGAAGUUGAAUAUGUUAAACAUCUUUUGCAUACCCUCAUUCAGUGGUCGAGAUAUGCAAUAAAGAUAUAUUUAAAUUUAAAUAUAACUAUAUAUUUUAGUAUAUUUUUAUUUAAAUAUUACAAAGUAUUGUAGCUUGUGAACAAGACAUGUAGCAAGUCAAAUAAUGGCACGGGAAUGGGGUCGAAUCGCAGUUCGCUAUAGAUAAAUGUUGAUGACAUCACGACGACUUCAGUUUAUCAUCCACAGGUAGUCGACCAAAUCAUUCUUAUUUUUUGUUAAUUUAGUUUGAUUUUUUUAAUAUUAUAACAUUUUGUUUGCUAUUUUAGUUUGAGGAAAACCACAUUCUUUAUCAUCAUGAAAUUAAUGAACAUAUUCAAGGUGGUUUACUUGAUAUGGUUAGUCUUAAAACCUUGUUUUAUGCUUGUUGUUUUUAGAUUUAUUAUGUUUGUUUUAGAUGUUUUAUGUUUGUAUAUAAUCAUAUCUAUGUACUAAUGUUAUGUGUUUUUAGAUAUUGUCUAUGAAUCCACCACAAGUUGAUUUAAAUGCACCCGAGCCGGAGUCGAACCCAAACCCGACCCUGAACUCAAAUCUGAAUCCAAAACCAAACCCGAACUUGAAUUUUAUACAUUUGAAGAUCUUGAGUUGUGUAUGGCUCCUUAAGCAAAGUACAGCAAUAAUGACCUAAGUUUCUAUCUGUUGAUUUUUAAGUAUCAAAGUUUUUUAGGAAUGCAAAUGUCAUUAGUAUUUUUUCACCCAAAGAGAGGCAUCGCCUCAGGGUUCAAUUUACCAUCUCAUAUAUCUCGGUGUUACAACUAUUUUUAAGAGAUUGGCUUGAUUAAGUUAUUAUGCAUUGGUUUGCGAUGUAAGUUAUUCUAUCUCUCUCUCUAUAUAUAUAUAUAUANCGGAUAUAAAAAACGCAUCAAAGAAGUACUUUCAUAUCAUAAAGGCAAACAAUAUUUUUUGCUCCAUAUUUACAGAGGUAAUUUUUUUUUCCAUAAUAUGUUCACAUUUAUAUACACACUACACAUAUAUGCUUACUUGUUAACCAUGUUAUCCUUACGUCUAUGAUGAUGAAAUAUGAACUUCUAAAUUAUUGGAAUGUCGCCCUCUUGACAAACAAAAAGAUUCAUUAUAAAAGUUACAAGACCCCAACAAAGAUAAAUACUUACCUUCCAUUGAUGUUUAUAACUUUAUAUGUGCUAUGGCUUUUUCAGCAUUGUUCACUACUUCCAUUAGGUUAACCAAACCAUGCACUCAGCCUGAUGUUGUUGCCUUUUUGUUCAAAUUCUUUUUUUAACCUAACAAAAACAGAAAUAAUGAAUACUGAAAUACGAGGUAAGAUUAUUGACUAAAACAUCCUGAUCUGAUAGAAUUAGUUUUCAUGUCCAUACAUUAACUUUACUUUUAUUGAAAAAAAAAAAAACAAAACUGGAGAAAUAAAGUAUUAUAAAGAAUAAAAAAAAAAAAGGUAUAAGAAUGAAAAGAUGAAAAAGAAAAACCCUCCAACAAACAGAUGAACACCAAGAAUCCCAACGAAAAGACCAACAAAAUUACAGUUUCCUUCUUAAAUCAGAGUUUACAAAAAUACCCGCCAACGAAUAAAUGAAGAAGAAGGCAGGGUAAUACUAGAAACCCUAACGAGUAGAAAGAGAACAAAAUAAGAUUAAAGACAUAGCAAUUAACCUUUGAUUAUUUCUUAUUCAAACAUCAAUUUUAAUUUGACAAGGAAAUUACAAUAUCUUAACCGCAAAAAAAAACAACCCUAGAGACUAGAGAGAUGAAUGAGAAUUACCUGCGCAGGUUGGGGGUGUUUAGGUCUCCGGCAGUGGAGUUACAUAGAUCGCUAUGGGUCAGGGGUGUUUGGGUUUGUUGAGAGCAGAAUGACUGAAGAACGCGCGGCCACAAACAAAUCCUGUCGAAUUCAAAGGGUUUCUUAGAUCACAGGCGAAGAAAGGAAGGUGGUGUUUUGGUCUCAGGGGAGCGGAGGAGUUACGAGUAGAGAGAUCGUCAGGGUUUGGGUCUUGUGAGAACGGGAGUUAGGGCAUGUUUGGGGUUUGGGAACGGGAGUGACA
Molecule: long non-coding RNA, 11970 nt
Filed under: Lactuca sativa (garden lettuce)
Lineage: Eukaryota; Viridiplantae; Streptophyta; Magnoliopsida; Asterales; Asteraceae
Description: long non-coding RNA (LSAT_LNC005974)
Source: RNAcentral